This 292-nucleotide ribosomal RNA is filed under the name uncultured bacterium. Its description in RNAcentral is "partial 16S ribosomal RNA". It matches the Rfam family "Bacterial small subunit ribosomal RNA", at positions 505 to 796 of the family's 1533-position model. The record is from RNAcentral.
GUGUCAGCAGCCGCGGUAAUACGUAGGGGGCAAGCGUUGUCCGGAUUUAUUGGGCGUAAAGAGCGUGUAGGCGGCCAGACAGGUCUGCUGUGAAAACUCGAGGCUCAACCUCGAGACGCCGGUGGAAACCGUUUGGCUAGAGUCCGGAAGAGGAGAGUGGAAUUCCUGGUGUAGCGGUGAAAUGCGCAGAUAUCAGGAAGAACACCCGUGGCUAAGGCGGCUCUCUAGUACGGUACUGACGCUGAGACGCGAAAGCGUGGGGAGCGAACAGGAUUAGAUACCCCCGUAGUCC